Molecule: non-coding RNA, 730 nt
Organism: Cinara cedri
Lineage: Eukaryota; Metazoa; Arthropoda; Insecta; Hemiptera; Aphididae
Source: the annotation of a GenBank genome assembly
AGCUUUCGUUAUAAAAAAGAAAAUGUAUACGUUCAGGUUUCUUUGAUACAUUAACUAAGUACCUAUCAACACAUUUUUGUUUUAAUUUUUUUAACUUAAUAGUAGGCAAAGAAAUUUGAAUUUAAAAACAAGUAGGUACCUAGUUAUGAAAGGUGUCAAUAUAAGAUAGGUAGGUACUAAGAAAAAUGUUAAGGGGAAGAUACAUCUCCAUAAUAUUUCCCUUUAAGUGUAUCAAUGAUUCCUAUUUCUAGUGUCGUUCCAUUAUUUAUUUAAAUUUAAAAUUCAGAAUAACAGGUAAUACAAUAAUAAAACAUGUACAAAAUAAGAUGUUUUAGGUAAGUAUAAUCAGUUAUUAUGUAACUAUUUAAAUAUUAUCACAGUGGUGCAAUUUAUUAAACAAUUAAUAACAUAAAUAACGUAACCCUAUACCUAGGUACUUAAAUUUGUAUCACCUAUAGUAAUAAACUAGGUAUCUCUUUUUAACUGGUUUCACAGUAAAUUAAUUUGCGUAUAGUGUGUAGGUACAAGGUACCCAUUAAAUCGUUAAUAAUUAUAAUAUUUUAUAUUAUUUUGCAUAAUUUACCAAUGUUUUUACAGGACCCUCAACCAUAAAUAUUCAUUAGUAACUCACUCAUUCUUACAAUAAAUAUAGGUACCGACUAUUUACAGAAUAUCAAGAGUGAAAAUUUUUUGAAACAAUAUUAUUAUAGCAAUUUAAAUAAGAUAAUCU